RNAcentral lists this long non-coding RNA (1225 nucleotides) under Equus caballus (horse). RNAcentral describes it as "lncRNA (ENSECAG00000049560.1)". The record is from RNAcentral. Lineage: Eukaryota; Metazoa; Chordata; Mammalia; Perissodactyla; Equidae.
AAACAGCUUACUUGGCCAUGAGUUUAUCCCAGCCCAGAAUACUGCGAGAUUAUGGGUGAUUUCUCAGCAGGACACACUCCUCUCAAAGCAGAGUCUCGUUACCCAGCCCAGAUGGAGAAUGUGGACUCAUUCCAGGGGGACACCUGUGACUGACCAAGGCUAAGGUUGUGGUCCAAGGACACAGCAGCUGCCAAAUCGGAAAGGAAGCCCUAACCACAACCCACAGGUGCACCUUCUCUACGCUUGACUGUGCUCUCCUCAGAAACCAGGACCUGUACUCAGAGAACCUUCCGGUUUCUGACUCCGCUUCUGGAGAGGCCAGUGUGGAAGUCCAGCUUUGCAGAACCAGCAUUUUCUAUGCUGAGGAGAGAGAUUUGAACACAGACACCGGGAGAGGGCCAUGUGGCGACAGAGGCAGGGGUUGGAGCGAUGCAGCUGCAAGACAAGGAAUGCUACGGAGUGCGGACGACACUGGAAGCUGAGAGACGGGCGUGGGACGGCUGCUCCCUCACAGCCUCCGUGAGGAGCAAACCUGUCAACACCUUGGUCUCGGACUGCUAGCCUCCGGAACUGUGAGAGAAUAAGUUUCUGCUGUUUGAAGGCACCAGUUUGUUAUGGCAGCCCUAGGACGCUAAUGCAAGGCGUUAACUCCUGAAAAGCCAGAAGAUACUCAAAGGCACAGAGGAACAGCAGGCACAGGAAGCCACUGCCACCUCUAGGGCUGAAGGGGAGUAAACAAGGAAGGGACUGAGGACUUGGAGCGGCCACAGGUGAGACUCAGACCCUCAGGAGAGGGCGUGGCCUCUGCUGGAACACAGACCUGCUAGUGGUGAGAAUACUUGCCAGAAUGGGGGCCAGAGUGGUUUAUAGAACCGGCCUGAGUGGUCUGUAAUAAGCUGAAUAACUUAUUAGAGAGUGGAGGCUGGAGCCAGUUCAUGGAAGCGGCUCACUGGGUGGUGGGGAGAUUUGCCCGAGAAUGAGUGCCACCGCAAUCCCUGCCCAUCCACCCUGUUGGCAGCUGAGUCCUGGGAGGAAUAAACACAUGUGGAAGUGGGGAGAGAAGCCCUUUGCUCUGGGCAGGCUUGCGGCAUCCCUCCAGCGUCCUCUGUGGACAAAGCCUAACAGUGCACCAGCUGGCAAUGGGAACUGUUGACAGGGUCCCCCGGCGGUACCCCAAAGCAGGGCAAAAAGGGUGAGUUUGGAGCUGAGAGACAGUAAACUGACA